UUUCGGCGACUCCAAUGCCACGGAGAUGUUUUGCAUCACCCUGACAGCUAUUGCGGCAACCACUAGCGCAGGUACUCGGCGGCUAGGUGAUUCAUCCCCUUUCAACCUUUCAGAUAAUGAUUGAUUGCACCCACCUUUGGUUUUUUCAACUAUACUAUUGUUCAGUUAUUACUUAUUAAUUAACAGUGCAAUUUUGUUCCUGCUACAUAAUACUUGGAAUCAUGAUUUCUGUCUUUGGCAGAUCUCUUUGAUGAGAGAAAUGAAUAGCUGAUAAAGCCUACAUUGGAGUUUUGUUGUACUGAAAUUUGUUCAGUCCAUGUGGAAUUUUCCCAAUGAUACAGCCAGGGCAAACACAGAAAGAUCCUACUUAAAGCACAAACAGAGGUUGGGAACAAACGUACAUGCCACCCGCCAUUGCCGCCACUACACUUCUAUCGGUUGGUGUUGGAGCUCAUGUGGUAAUACACUAGGGAUGACAUGGAGGCCAAGGAGAUUCGUUUCUCUUUCAGGUAUCACUGUGCUCCAUUUCGAAAAAAGGUAUCAUUGUGCUUCUUAUUUUCCUUAGUAUGUAGCUUCAAAAGGUAUUACCUGCUCUUUAUUGACUGGUUAAUAUGAAAUGUCUAAAUGAAUGAUGUUUAAUUAGUGUCUUGUGUCUAAUAGGGCAUGUGAGAACAACGUUAGCUGAACAAUUUUGUUUUAGUCUAGGAGUUUUCAACAUAGAGUCCAGAGCUGUUGUUUUUUAGAGAGAAUACAGAGUUGCGUGGUCAAGCUUUCGAAUAGUAAUUAAGAAAUUUCCUUAAGUAUUAUUUUCUCUGAUGUAAAAGAUCAUUUGGCAGAUUUUCCUCCAGCUGCCUAAAAAAUAGACUAUAUUGGUUCAAAGAGUGGUUUUGAAAAUUACUUCCUCAAAUAUUAGAAAACAGAUGGGAUGGUUUUUUCUUUCCAUCGCUUUUUUUUCCAGAUUAUGGAACAUGAAAGAAGGAGAUUAAUCGAUAUGCAAGCACCUAGACAAGAUGUGCAGAGAUGUUACCAAUGUCAGCUUCUCUGCGCACCCUGAGCAGCACCAACACGUGGAGUGUGUCUUCAGUGAGUCACCAUCCAAUCAGAGGCAGCGAACCCUCAUCGGUUCAGUACAGAUGUUACAAGUGUUUUUGAUUUUUACUCUCCUCAUGAGUUGUGCGUCAUGGAGAUUUAUAGAGUAGUGGUUAGUGAACCCUACCUGCCUUCUUUGAUAAUGUGAUGUAGGAUUUUACAUAGAGAGAGGUAAGCACUACUACAUAUAUGUGACAGUUUCAUGUCCCUGUCCUGCACUUAUAAGGAUUUCCGCAAUUGUUGAUAGCUGCAGCUAAAUACCCGUAACCGGAAAUUUUAGGAGACCUUUCUUCCGGUGUAGAGAAAAAUAGCUGGGUAGUACAUUUUAAGUUCCUAUAGGUACCAGAUUAGAGAUUUAAACACUGGAAAGAAACUCUAGAUCUUACAUGUUGACGAGAAUACUUAGGUAGUACAUUUUAGGUUCCUACAGCUACCGGAUUGGAGAGUUAAACUUAAACCAUUGGAAAGAAAAUCUAGAACUUACAAUUCUUCUGCCGUAGAGGAAAAUAGUUAGGCAGUGCAUUUUAGGUUCCCCAUAACUAAUGAUUUCUACUUUCUAUGCUUUCGUAGAAUGGAAAUACUUCUCUGGCAGAACAACAUAGAUGGAGCAAUGGAUAAAAUGUUCUUCUUAACUGAGCCAUCUUCCUGGUGCUCCAGAAUAUAUAUGUUAAGUUUUUGAAGUCAAUGACAGUAGGAUGACACAUGGUUUCAAUACUGAAAUAGAUAGCUUUUGAGAUAAAUCCGCCAUUUGUUUACACCACGAUAUGCACCUCUUCUAUAUGAGAAAAUAUUACUGAGUGGGUUUAUAGUUGUUCUUCCCAAAGUAAGCAUGGUUAGCAUCUCAUGAUUGCUUAAUUCUCCACUGAUUAUGUUGAUUUGUAAUUUAUCUUAAAAGGAGAUUCUGAUUUGUAUUGUUGCACUAUGUACCUUAGUUUUUGCGUUAUCUUUUCACAAGUUCAGUUCAGAUGAUAAUAUUGACAUAUUUUCCUUCAUAAAUGAGCUUCGCCAAAUUCAUCCCAGGUUCCCAACAACUUAAAUAAGCUGCUCGAAAGCAUCCUGACGGAUCAACCGAAGAAAGAAGUCACAAAUCGCAACAAACUUUAUGCGGCUUAAUCGGUUAUCAGAGAAGUAAAUUCUGAAAGGAGAGCGAUCAAAGCUGAAAAUACCAUUAGCAGGUAUUAUCUAUGGUUCCUGGAGUUUUUGUGAUACAGUAAAGUGGUCUGAUUAUUUUAGUAAUGGCAAUGCUGAGACUGUAGGCUUCCCUGUCGAUCAUAGGUAGUCUGCACUGUACUCCAACUUUUUUUUGAACUUCUGUAUUGGAGUAUUUUGUAAUGACACACUUUGUUUGUGCAAAUGUCGUGCUAUAAUUAUCGUGUGUCUCUCUUAUCUAGAAACCUCAACUUUCUCCAUGUAUGGAUUCUUGGUAAGUUAAUGAAGUUGUUGCUUGCAAGGCUUA
Molecule: long non-coding RNA, 2545 nt
Organism: Lolium rigidum
Lineage: Eukaryota; Viridiplantae; Streptophyta; Magnoliopsida; Poales; Poaceae
Exons: 2
Source: RefSeq, a predicted model, not a curated record